GACGAACGCUGGCGGCGUGCUUAACACAUGCAAGUCGAACGCUGAAGCUUGGUGCUUGCACUGGGUGGAUGAGUGGCGAACGGGUGAGUAAUAAGUGAGUAACCUGCCCUUGACUCUGGGAUAAGCCUGGGAAACUGGGUCUAUACUGGAUACGACAUGUCACCGCAUGGUGGUGUGUGGAAAGGGUUUUACUGGUUUUGGAUGGGCUCACGGCCUAUCAGCUUGUUGGUGGGGUAAUGGCUCACCAAGGCGACGACGGGUAGCCGGCCUGAGAGGGUGACCGGCCACACUGGGACUGAGACACGGCCCAGACUCCUACGGGAGGCAGCAGUGGGGAAUAUUGCACAAUGGGCGGAAGCCUGAUGCAGCGACGCCGCGUGAGGGAUGACGGCCUUCGGGUUGUAAACCUCUUUCAGCACGGAAGAAGCGAAAGUGACGGUACGUGCAGAAGAAGCGCCGGCUAACUACGUG
Molecule: ribosomal RNA, 471 nt
Filed under: uncultured bacterium
Lineage: Bacteria
Description: partial 16S ribosomal RNA
Rfam family: Bacterial small subunit ribosomal RNA
Source: RNAcentral